Long non-coding RNA from Cyprinus carpio carpio, 4445 nucleotides. NCBI's taxonomy places the organism in Eukaryota, Metazoa, Chordata, Actinopteri, Cypriniformes, Cyprinidae. The record is from Ensembl.
AUGAGACCUGCGUCUCAUACCAGGGUUCCCUCUUGGGACCUGGCGGUGGUUCUCGAAGGGUUGGUUGAGCCCCCCUUCGAACCGCUGGAGUCGGCUGAGGCCAAGAACCUUUCCCUAAAGGUGGCUUUCUUGUUGGCCAUUACCUCUCUGAGGAGGGUAGGAGAUCUCCAGGCGCUCUCUAUAUCUAAUGGGUGCCUGGAGUUUGCUCCAGGCGACAUCAAAGCCAUCCUACAUCCUAGGCCGGGCUAUUUGCCCAAGGUGCCGUCUAACGUGGCACGGCCUACGGUUCUGCAGGCUUGUCAUCCUCCGCCUCAUGUGACGGCGGAUGAAGAGAGACUUCACCUGCUCUGCCCUGUCAGAGCUCUCAAAAUAUAUAUCCAGAGGUCCUCCUCAUGGCGGAAGUCAGACCAGUUGUUAGUGUGUUUCGGGUCACCCAAGAAGGGGCUUCCUGCUUCCAAACAGACCAUUAGCAACUGGAUUGUCCAAGCUAUAUCUAUGGCCUACCAGGUGCGCAAAUUGCCUUCACCUCUGGCCGUGAGGGCUCACUCUACCAGAGGCAUGGCGUCCUCUAGAGCCCUCCUUUCAGGGGUCCCUGCGAUGCAGCAGGAUGGGCCACCCCUCACACUUUUAUUAGAUUUUACAGCCUGGACAUUCCAUCGACACCUGGCACAGAAGCUAUCUCUGUUGUGUGCCGGCGUCCUUUUGUAGCUUCCGCUUAUGCCGUCACACAUUACGUCAUGACGCAACACCAAUCAGGAUUGGCUUAGUUUCAUUCAUACUUCAGAGGCGCUACGCUGAGGGGCAUUUCCCCAAAGUGUCGGUCGACGCAGUUCUCGUUCCCUUUCUCGGGGAACAAGGGUUACAGUUGUAACCCGAGACGUUUUUUACUAACCAUGCAUAAACGUUGUUUUCUUAAAAACACAAUCAUGUACAUGCAUGCUAUUUACAUAUUAUUGUAGCGCAGUUUGUACUGAUUACAGUGUUAUUAGACUUUAGCCAUGUAUCUAUUUAUAAGCAACUGAAAAAAGCACAAAAGUCAGGGGAUGUCAAAAUUUCUCCAGGCCCCCAGAAAACCCCUAGACCUCAGAGGGUUAAUUAGGCCAAAUUAAGACAAGAAACAAAUAAAAAUAAACCUGGCCACGAUUUAGCUAAAUAAUUGAAACUGAAAAGAAUGGACGUAUUAAUAAAAUGUCCUCACAUUUAAACUCAUUUUCUCCCGUUAUAAUCAACAAAGUGCACACAAUGAGCUUCAAAGAGCUUCAUUAAUUGACAGCUUCAGUGAUUGUAAAUGGAGCCUUCUUUACUUGCUUUCAUGCAAUUUAAUUAAAACUCAAAAAAAUAAAAAAUUCCAGCCACAUUUAAAUUGCAGGAUUGUAGGCCUAUUCUAUUCCUUAAAAUAUCAGAUUGCAAGAUUUGCACGACGCACAACAUUUAUUCUUAUUUGUCUACAUAUUUUUUCUUCAAAACAAAUCUUUUUUUUUAUCAUUGCAUGUAAAAAUAAUAAACUUUGUAAUGAAUAUGCAAAAUGUGAAACUGCAAUCUUAUUCGCAGUCUAUAGCAUUUUAUAAUUAUUUGUACAAUAAUAUCUAACUUAACUUGCUCUGCAUCUUUAUUAUUUAAUGUAAAAGAGAUUUAUUAAAACAAUCAAAAUCAAUGAAUUGGAGCGGCAUCAGCCUUUAGAUCAUUUUAAAAUGUCAAAUAUCCUUUAAUUUACAGGUUAUAACUGCAUCUGUCUCAGUUGUAGACUUGUGAAGAUUUAUUUUUAAUGCGGAUCCCAUACUAUAACCUAAAAGAAAUGUGCUCUUUCACUAUUCAUAUUCAAGCGUUUGAAUUUAUUGAUGCGCAUGCAUGACAGCGAAGCGCCCUCACGAUCAUUUUUUUUUUACCUGAUAAUGAAAAAACUUAAAACUGGGGUGCCUUACAUACAUGAGAAAUAUAUCUACAGAAAUCUUGAAAUGUCUACUUUUAAACGAACCAAUUUAAAACGAAAGUAAAUACUCCCUGAUUAUGUGCAUCCUGUGGAGAUGAGAGUCGACAGCACCAUGAAUUUCAUCUUGCAGCAGACAAGAAAACAUUAGUUUAUUAAUAAAUAAUUAAAAUGUCUCCCUUUUCACAAUUAUUAAGCUACUUCUGCCUGUGCUUUGUGGCAAACUUAAUGCGUGUGCUUGAGCACAGAAUAUAUUAGCUAAGGCUCAUUAUGGAUUAGACUGUGUUCAUUUAAUAUAAACGUUAGAUUAGUUGAAUAAUGACAAAUGUACGACUACUAGUAACUAGAAAAAUCUUAUGUGGGGGGCAGACCUAUUAAAUACCCUCUAUACAUCUCUGUUAAAGUUUUUAAAGCAUUUUAUGUGCGUUUAUAAAUUCUGCUUUCAGAACAGUCCAUAACGGAGAGAUGCCUUAACAUUGAUUUUUCCUCUGAAACACAAAAACUAAAAUUUAAAUAAAAUAGAUAUUUUAUGGUUUGAGAAUGGUCAACACUUCUCCAUUCUGCAUAUAUUUCUGCAUAUAUUGUUGCUUCUGGUUUGUGCAUUGUAAACCACAGAAAGUCUACAAAAACUCCGGUCUUUUUUGUCAAGCCCGUAACGCACGUGUAUUUCCCAAAUCUGAAAUAUCCUGUAAAACAUGUUCAUAGACGAAUACUUUUCUGAUGUCUGGACUCUAUUUGGGAUUUAGAAAAACAUAAAGAAAUGGUUCAAUAUUUUGGUAAUGAAUACAUUCUGGGAGAAUUUACAUUUCAGGUUUUGACUGUGAAUGUCACGUCAGUAACGCUGGAAUUGCCCGAUAAUGAAACUAAAAAUAAUUAGGCCUACGUGAUGUCUCGGGACAGGUUCUUAUUAUUGCAAUAUAUUUUUACAUUUGUAUUGCCAAAAUGACUGCAGUGUUGCUGCGUACAAUUAAAACAGUACAAUAGCACAGUGAAAAUAGUACAAAGCAGCAUAGGCUGUAGAUUUAAGAACAAAAGUUUUUGUCUUUUUGGCAGAUGUCUUUCGCCAGUUUCUUUUUUGUCUCUCUCUCAGAAGCACCUCAUCUCUCCUGAGAUAAAACAAAAACAUAUUAUAUUGUAUGUAAUACUCUUAAGGCCUAAGCAGUUGCAAAAAAAAAUUGCAAAAGCCAAUCCCAACGAGGCAUGAAAAUACUGUCUAAACCUGCUCUGCAAGUUUGAAACCCUCAUCAGUCACUGUCCAUAUGAAAGAGCAAGAGAUUCACACCUUUAUUUUUCAACCCCCAUAAGCUAUACAGAACUACCCCCAACCCCCUCCAGCUGAACUGAAUUCAGUCGCCACUGGUUGCUUAGUGUAAAAUGGACACACUCUAUCUAAAAAAAAAAAAAAAAUUGGUGUAACAUAAACCAGUGAACUCCAGAACAUGUUUGUAUUAAUAUUUUUUUUAUUUUAUUUUAUUAUAUAUAAAUUCAUUCUUUUUGCAAAAAUCAUUGUUAUUUGUGAACGUAGGCAUUUAAGGAAGGCUUUAAGACCAAGCAGAAUCCUCUGCCAGCUGCUCCCGCUUCACAGUGAGCACGACUCGCACUAAGCGGAAGGUUCGAAAGUUUUUAUUUUACAAAAUCAGUUUUGGUGAAUGCAACUUAUUGAUCAUGAGCCCAACAUUAAGCAAGGGAGGAAAACAUUCAGUCUACCUGAAGGAAGAAAAAUACAUUGAAAAAACAAACAAUCCAAACACCAGAAGCAACCUACACUCUCUUUAAGUGUUCUUUCAUUGAAAAGUAUGCAUUUUUAUUAAUUCACAGGCUAUAUGGUUGGACUAAUGUUUUAGUUCAAAACUUUAACUGGCAUUGUUUAAAAAAUGCUUUAUUGACUGACAUUUCAUAGACCUUCAGGGUUUUCUUUAUACUAGAUUUAACUUGAAUCUCAAUACUAUUAAACUGACUUUAAAAUCUCAAGGAGUUUAUAAGUUGAAACAGGUGAAAAUGUCAUAGUACAUGUUAAAUAGCUUAAAUGAACUUGUAUCUUGUAUAGUAACAGAAGACCUUGAUUGCAUGUUACCAUGAAACUAACAAUAUAAUUUAUUUGUUUUUAAAAAUGAACAAUUCCUGUAUAAAAUGGGACAGCAACCUUUAUAUCAAACAUUUUUAAAUUGUCCACAGAUGAGGAUCGCGGGAGGCAGGUUCUGUGCCAGAGCACACAAAGUGAAUGUGCAUGCAGUUUUUAGAGGGGAGUUUUUUUUUUUUAAGUAACUUUCAGAUGCAAUGGAAGAAAAAUGGGAUAAACACAAACACAAAACUUGUAAAUAGUUAACAACAUAGCCUAGAUUAACCCACAGUAAAAAAAAAAAAAUAUCAACAAAUUUAUUAACCCAUUAAUUAUUUUAUUCUGCAUGUUUUUAAAAAACGUUUUUGAAAGAAAAAAAAAAUAUGUCAUUUAAAAGUCGCAUUUUAUUACAUUCAGAAAUAAUGUUAUAAUGUACCAAAGAGAUAUUUUUUAGUUCCC